Molecule: ribosomal RNA, 108 nt
Filed under: uncultured bacterium
Lineage: Bacteria
Description: partial 16S ribosomal RNA
Source: RNAcentral
CGGUGAAUACGUUCCCGGGUCUUGUACACACCGCCCGUCAAACCAUGAAAGUGACCAACACCCGAAGUCCGAUUCGUCGGCCUAAGGCGAGCGCAGGUGACUGGGGCG